This 99-nucleotide microRNA precursor is filed under the name Phlebotomus papatasi. Its description in RNAcentral is "microRNA mir-598". The record is from RNAcentral. Lineage: Eukaryota; Metazoa; Arthropoda; Insecta; Diptera; Psychodidae.
GUUUAACGUUAACGUUAACGUUAACGUUAACGUUAACGUUAAACGUUAACGUUAACGUUAACGUUAACGUUAACGUUAACGUUAACGUUAACGUUAACG